UGCAAGUCAAGGGGUAGCAAUACACCGGCGUACGGGUGCGUAACGCGUAUGGAACCUGCCCUUAUCUGGGGGAUAACUCGGGGAAACUCGAGCUAAUACCGCAUAAGAUAGUAGAAUGGCAUCAUUCAGCUAUUAAAGAUUUAUUGGAUAAGGAUGGCCAUGCGUAAGAUUAGAUAGUUGGCGAGGUAACGGCUCACCAAGUCUACGAUCUUUAGGGGCUCUGAGAGGAGAAUCCCCCACACUGGCACUGAGAUACGGGCCAGACUCCUACGGGAGGCAGCAGUAGGGAAUAUUGGGCAAUGGGCGGAAGCCUGACCCAGCCACGCCGCGUGCAGGAAGACGGCCCUCUGGGUUGUAAACUGCUUUUAACUGGGAAGAAAAGAGGCCUUGCGAGGCAAGUUGACGGUACCAGUUGAAUAAGCCACGGCUAACUACGUGCCAGCAGCCGCGGUAAUACGUAGGUGGCGAGCGUUAUCCGGAUUUAUUGGGUUUAAAGGGAGCGUAGGCGGCUGAUUAAGUCAGCGGUGAAAGGUAGCAGCUUAACUGUUUUACAUGCCGUUGAUACUGGUUAGCUUGAGUUGACAGAAGGCAGAUAGAAUUCCUGAUGUAGCGGUGAAAUGCUUAGAUAUCAGGAGGAAUACCGAUUGCGAAGGCAGUCUGCUGCAGUCACACUGACGCUGAGGCUCGAAGGUGCGGGGAUCAAACAGGAUUAGAUACCCUGGUAGUCCGCACAGUAAACGAUGAUUACUAGAUGUUGGCCAAGCCAGUGUCCAAGGGAAACCGAUAAGUAAUCCACCUGGGGAGUACGCCGGCAACGGUGAAACU
This 825-nucleotide ribosomal RNA is filed under the name uncultured bacterium. RNAcentral's name for it is "bacterial SSU rRNA". It matches the Rfam family "Bacterial small subunit ribosomal RNA", at positions 56 to 901 of the family's 1533-position model. The record is from RNAcentral.